CGAACGGCGCAUUAGUCGUAAUCAUUUCGCACUGUAAGGGUGCUCAGCGAGCGACGGAUGUCAAGUCAGUGGAAUCAUCAACAAGAGAAGAUAAUGAAACUCAUGCUCAGUUUAGUUUGUCUUCUUCAAGGUGUCAGCUCACUCAAGUUGGAUUGCCCAACAUUAGUGGAACUUGGUUCUUCAGCACGUUUAAUUUACUUUGGGACACAGUCAAACAAGUCCUUAGUUUCAUGGACAAGGCAUGAUAAUGUAGUAGCUAGCAAUUGCAAUCGGUAUGGCUGUGACGGCCUCGAUGGAUAUACAGUUUCGCGUAAUUCUAGCCACACUGAGCUAAAGAUUCUGGAAGUAGGUGAGAAAGAUAUCGGAACAUGGACUUGCAAGAGCCGUAAUGGAUCACAAUGUAAAAUAGAGG
Haliotis rufescens (red abalone) is the source of this 412-nucleotide long non-coding RNA. RefSeq lists it as uncharacterized. The record is from RefSeq and is a predicted model, not a curated record. The transcript has 3 exons. Lineage: Eukaryota; Metazoa; Mollusca; Gastropoda; Lepetellida; Haliotidae.